Molecule: ribosomal RNA, 1519 nt
Filed under: Escherichia coli
Lineage: Bacteria; Pseudomonadati; Pseudomonadota; Gammaproteobacteria; Enterobacterales; Enterobacteriaceae
Description: partial 23S ribosomal RNA
Rfam family: Bacterial large subunit ribosomal RNA
Source: RNAcentral
GGGUUGUGAGGUUAAGCGACUAAGCGUACACGGUGGAUGCCCUGGCAGUCAGAGGCGAUGAAGGACGUGCUAAUCUGCGAUAAGCGUCGGUAAGGUGAUAUGAACCGUUAUAACCGGCGAUUUCCGAAUGGGGAAACCCAGUGUGUUUCGACACACUAUCAUUAACUGAAUCCAUAGGUUAAUGAGGCGAACCGGGGGAACUGAAACAUCUAAGUACCCCGAGGAAAAGAAAUCAACCGAGAUUCCCCCAGUAGCGGCGAGCGAACGGGGAGCAGCCCAGAGCCUGAAUCAGUGUGUGUGUUAGUGGAAGCGUCUGGAAAGGCGCGCGAUACAGGGUGACAGCCCCGUACACAAAAAUGCACAUGCUGUGAGCUCGAUGAGUAGGGCGGGACACGUGGUAUCCUGUCUGAAUAUGGGGGGACCAUCCUCCAAGGCUAAAUACUCCUGACUGACCGAUAGUGAACCAGUACCGUGAGGGAAAGGCGAAAAGAACCCCGGCGAGGGGAGUGAAAAAGAACCUGAAACCGUGUACGUACAAGCAGUGGGAGCCUCUUUUAUGGGGUGACUGCGUACCUUUUGUAUAAUGGGUCAGCGACUUAUAUUCUGUAGCAAGGUUAACCGAAUAGGGGAGCCGAAGGGAAACCGAGUCUUAACUGGGCGUUAAGUUGCAGGGUAUAGACCCGAAACCCGGUGAUCUAGCCAUGGGCAGGUUGAAGGUUGGGUAACACUAACUGGAGGACCGAACCGACUAAUGUUGAAAAAUUAGCGGAUGACUUGUGGCUGGGGGUGAAAGGCCAAUCAAACCGGGAGAUAGCUGGUUCUCCCCGAAAGCUAUUUAGGUAGCGCCUCGUGAAUUCAUCUCCGGGGGUAGAGCACUGUUUCGGCAAGGGGGUCAUCCCGACUUACCAACCCGAUGCAAACUGCGAAUACCGGAGAAUGUUAUCACGGGAGACACACGGCGGGUGCUAACGUCCGUCGUGAAGAGGGAAACAACCCAGACCGCCAGCUAAGGUCCCAAAGUCAUGGUUAAGUGGGAAACGAUGUGGGAAGGCCCAGACAGCCAGGAUGUUGGCUUAGAAGCAGCCAUCAUUUAAAGAAAGCGUAAUAGCUCACUGGUCGAGUCGGCCUGCGCGGAAGAUGUAACGGGGCUAAACCAUGCACCGAAGCUGCGGCAGCGACGCUUAUGCGUUGUUGGGUAGGGGAGCGUUCUGUAAGCCUGUGAAGGUGUGCUGUGAGGCAUGCUGGAGGUAUCAGAAGUGCGAAUGCUGACAUAAGUAACGAUAAAGCGGGUGAAAAGCCCGCUCGCCGGAAGACCAAGGGUUCCUGUCCAACGUUAAUCGGGGCAGGGUGAGUCGACCCCUAAGGCGAGGCCGAAAGGCGUAGUCGAUGGGAAACAGGUUAAUAUUCCUGUACUUGGUGUUACUGCGAAGGGGGGACGGAGAAGGCUAUGUUGGCCGGGCGACGGUUGUCCCGGUUUAAGCGUGUAGGCUGGUUUUCCAGGCAAAUCCGGAAAAUCAAG